Molecule: long non-coding RNA, 1153 nt
Organism: Mastomys coucha (southern multimammate mouse)
Lineage: Eukaryota; Metazoa; Chordata; Mammalia; Rodentia; Muridae
Exons: 6
Source: RefSeq, a predicted model, not a curated record
GACCAGAGGUUGCUGGGCAACAAGAGUAGCGUCGCAGCUCUCUCUGGCGGCGGAAAUCAGCAAUUGCCUUAAUGCUCAGCUCCUGCAGACCCUUUCCAGAAAGUAGGCAGAGUAACAAGGAGGAAGAAGCUGGAGUCAGAAAGCCAAUCAUAAAAGCGAGCUUCAAAACUACAAAGAAGCUUCACAGGGUCCUAUGGAAGCACAUAGUACAUAUAUGUACUGAUAUGUCUUAGAGAACAGGUUGACAAUCACACAGCCUGCAUGGGUAGAUGACGAAGUCCAUAAAUAUCUAAUGGCUCGACUGAGGUGAUGUGACUAUUUAUAACAAGCAUUCAAGCAGCUUUUCAAGACUCCUCAAAUCCUCAAACAAAUUCUGUAUGAGGACCAAGAUAUAAUCACUUCACAGAGGAAGAAAUCAAGCCACCAGCAAGCAAGAGGGACAGCCAGGAUUGCAACCCAGAACACCUGCUUCAAGGGUUCUCGAUGGCUUCCCCAGCUUCACAACAGAACUGCUGAGAGGACUUGGUGGGAUCCCACUCCAUGAGUCCCCACUGUGCAUCAGAUACCUACGAAGGAUGCUAAACUCACUGCUUCCCUUGGAACAGGUGAUGCCUCUGAAGAGACUCCAGGCCUAAGGAUUCAGGACCCGACAGGACCUCUCUCUGUGCUUCUGGACCUUCUCACAAGUUCCUCCUGGGUCUGCUCUAGGUUUUCACAGCAUGGAUUCUGAUGACACUUUCCAUCUGCCCAUCUUUCUCAUUGCCUCCACUGCAGCAGCCUCAGCCCUCAGUGUUCUUUGUGGCUGUGCCAAGACAUUGGGAAAGUUAGAUUUCUCUCCUUGACAGGAACUCUUCUGAAGAUCUCACCUGAGGGAAUAUCACUGAACCUGACUCAGCACAGAUCUUCCAGGUAACAUAGAUUCCAAGCAUUAAAUAGAAAAUCCUUCCUUUGGGUACCGACAUGAAGAUGACGUGUUUCCCUACUCCUAAAGGUCACCGAUAAUUACUGGCGAUGACAUCAUUGCCAGGUGGGGGACAGUCUCCCUUGCAGCUCUGCUGGGGUGUCUUGGAACAUCCACAGGCACUUCAAUUCAUCAACAAUAACCCUUUAUACCAGCCCAGCCAAGAAGGUAUCAAUAUACAGAUGGCAAGUA